UGGGGAAUAUUGGACAAUGGGCGAAAGCCUGAUCCAGCCAUGCCGCGUGUGUGAAGAAGGUCUUCGGAUUGUAAAGCACUUUAAGUUGGGUGGAAGGGCUGUAAGCGAAUACCUUCUGUUUUGACGUUACCGACAGAAUAAGCACCGGCUAACUCUGUGCCAGCAGCCGCGGUAAUACAGAGGGUGCGAGCGUUAAUCGGAUUUACUGGGCGUAAAGCGUGCGUAGGCGGCUAAUUGAGUCGGAUGUGAAAUCCCCGAGCUUAACUUGGGAAUUGCAUUCGAUACUGGUUAGCUAGAGUGUGGGAGAGGAUGGUAGAAUUCCAGGUGUAGCGAUGAAAUGCGUAGAGAUCUGGAGGAAUACCGAUGGCGAAGGCAGCCAUCUGGCCUAACACUGACGCUGAGGUACGAAAGCAUGGGGAGCAAACAGG
This 428-nucleotide ribosomal RNA is filed under the name Pseudomonadota bacterium. Its description in RNAcentral is "Proteobacteria bacterium partial 16S ribosomal RNA". It matches the Rfam family "Bacterial small subunit ribosomal RNA", at positions 355 to 776 of the family's 1533-position model. The record is from RNAcentral. Lineage: Bacteria; Pseudomonadati; Pseudomonadota.